Molecule: ribosomal RNA, 480 nt
Filed under: uncultured bacterium
Lineage: Bacteria
Description: bacterial SSU rRNA
Rfam family: Bacterial small subunit ribosomal RNA
Source: RNAcentral
ACAGGCCUAACGCAUGCAAGUCGAGGGGCAGCAUGGUAUCAGCUUGCUGAUACCGGAUGGGCGACCGGCGCACGGGUGAGUAACGCGUAUGUAAUCGUGACCUGUAACAGAGGGAUAACCCGGAGAAAUCCGGCCUAAUACCUCAUAGCACAUAUUAUUCGCAUGAGUUUUANGUUAAAGAGACUCGGUUACAGAUGAACAUGCGUUCCAUUAGAUAGUAGGCGGGGUAACGGCCCACCUAGUCUUCGAUGGAUAGGGGUUCUGAGAGGAAGGUCCCCCACAUUGGAACUGAGACACGGUCCAAACUCCUACGGGAGGCAGCAGGUGAGGAAUAUUGGUCAAUGGGCGGAAGCCUGAACCAGCCACGCCGCGUGAAGGACUAAGGCCCUACGGGUCGUAAACUUCUUUAGACGCAGAGCAAUAAGGUCCACGCGUGGACCGAUGAGAGUAUGCGUAGAAUAAGCAUCGGCUAACUCCGUG